UGCUCUUUGCCUGCUUGGGCAGUGGAAGCAUGGAAUAGCUUACCCUGUUCGUGUCAUGGAAUAAAACAGCAGGGAAAAAGGACAACAGAAAUAGCCCUGCUUGGCAGGCGGCUGAGCGUGAUAAAAGAGAGACUGGUUGUGGCUCGCUGUAUAAAAUUGCUGAGUUAUUCUUGGGUUGCUUGUAUGCAAGCUGAGUGUUCAGUGUUUUACUGAAUAUGGGGCUUUUUUCCUCCCUUAAGAUGAUCAAAAGACAGCUGCUAGGAACACCCCGAGAGCUGAGUGCUGAGCUGGGGUGCUGAAAUUAAUAAACAGGCAAAACCUGAAGCAGUUAAAUUUGUCUGGCUUUACUACGAACCCUCUCCAGAGCUCUGCAUUUCUUUCAGAAACCAAAACCCUGCAGUGUUUAGAGUCCGAGGAGCUGUGAAUUAACAAAAUGUAAUGGAGGAGCCUGACACGCAUGGUUUGGUCAGGCUUGUCCUUUAAGGGAAAAAACUGCAGAGCAGUGGGCAGUUCGGGGAACCAUCGCCCUGUUUAUGUUUUGUUGCUCGCUAGGGAGUGGGAACGCUGGGAAACGCAGGCGCUGCCCUGCAGGCAGAGAACUUUCAGGACCCCCCAUUUAUGUAAGCUUAUAGAUGGCAUUUAUAAAAAAAUGUCUAAAAUAUGUUAUGUAAUGAGAAGGCAAACAAAAUUAAAUGUGUUUAGUAUUUAACAAUCCACAGAGAGAUGAAACUCUGGUUUACUGCGUUACUUCUCUUGGCUGGUUUGCCAAGGCACUGACUGCGGGUUUUACUUCACUGUCUGCAGAAAGGGGUUUCAGUCACCACAGGGGAAUAAGAGGCUUGUAAAAAGCCUGUUUGAUCAGCUGUUGUCACAAGUGAUUCAAAAUUACUUCAAGUGUAUUGAAUGGUUCCUGGGUACAUGGCCGUGCCAUCCCAAGGGGACUUGAGAAGUCAAUUACAGCAGCUCAGCUCCUGCUGAGUGCUCCUGGUCUUGAUGUGCACGGCAUAUUUCUGGAGAUCAGCUUCUUCAUUUCCAGGCUGUAAAACACACAGGACCCCCGAGAAUGAGAAGAUACCAUGGCUUUUCGGUUUUAUCCUGUAGGAACUGAGAGAUUUUCUUUUAUAUGGAUUUUCGUCGGCAUCCAGCGGCAGGAGGGAAAAUUGCACGCCAAGCAUCCUUCCAUAAACAGUGUGGCUCAUCAGCGCUUGCCAGUGCUCAGCACGUUGCUGCCCUUACUGAAGGAUGAUGCUCAAUACCUCUCUGAGUCCCACUCCUGUUGCAACAAACACCCUCCACCUUGCACGUGUGACAGCCUGAUGGACUUAUCGGAAUUGUUCACUACCAAAUAAACAAAACACUCCAUGAAUCUUUGACAGAGCUCUGAAGAUGCUUCUUAUUGUUCCUGUUCGUUCUGUGGCUCAUCUCCCUUGCCCUCACAAAGCCGGAGCUGUACCGACCAACGAACCAGCCACCCUUCCAGCCCAGGAAGACCGAUAGCAGCUCCUCUGUACAGACGGCUGGCACUAUCACCUCACUUGCUCCUCGCCCAGGGAUGGCGUGUUGCUUGCGAUGCCUUUUUACCUGCAGGUGUGCUGGAGGAAAGGGAGCAGCAGUCAAACUGGAAAUUGGACCAGGCAGUGAUUUGCAGUAGGAAGAGAGGUUGUCAGUCCGGAUUUCAUGAAGCAAGGCUUCCAAAUGUUAGCUCUGACUGGGUCUAAGGCCUUCAUCUUGUAAAUGAACUGCAUUGGAAGCACUAUGUACAAGUUACGGCUCCUGUGCUCAGACUAAAUUGUAAAUGUUUGCAGUAAGAUUUUUACAGCUUGCAGCAAAGAAACCAAACUGCAAUGCACCGAUUGUGAAGAUGUUCUUAUCCUAGUGCUUUCUCCAUGUGAGAGAGAGCAUGGAAAGGUCUGAAGAACAGGCUGUAAGUAUACUGUCGCCCGUUACAGCCCUUCUGUCUGGAAGAGACACUGAUAAUAUUAAUGUAGUGUAUUUCUCCAUGUGAUCUUGUUUAUUUACAGAAUAAAGAGAGCAUUUUUUUCCUUUCCUUGAAUAUGGUAGAAACAAAACCAAACAAGUUGUUUCUGGACAUUCACAAGUCUGCGGGUCCUAAAAAGGUCUGACCUCUAAAGGUUCCUCCUCUCUGUAGCUCCUUACUUUUCAUUCUCCUGUAUGAAGCCAACACAAGCACAUCAGCUGUCUGGGCAAGCAGGAAAGUCCAUGAAUUAUGUGAAGUCCUGCCACGGAAAAUAGAUCUGUGGCAGAGGGCUUCCAUCAUUCAUCUGCCUUUACUACAUUAGAAAAAAGUAGUCAUUCUUUCUACUGAAUCUGGAAGAGUACGUCUGUUAUAUUUCUGACUAUAAUGAGACGUGUGGGGACUGUGGAUUAAAGACUUGCCCCAAGGCUGUUAUUAGCAUUUUUCUGUGUAAUAAUCAAGAGACAAAGAUGCAUCAUCUAAUUUAGGUGUUCUUAGCAAGUCAUCCCAAGACAGUGCCCAGAUCUCUAUAUUGAUUGGAUUGGGAGACACAGUAUUGCAGACCUGGAUAGGCGGGGGAUUGACCCACCCAUUGCUCCUCUGUACUUAGAAACUAUAAGAACACCAACAGUUGAAGGCUGUGAUGAAUGGAUAUGUGCCUUUUAGAAGGAGGAGGGUGAGAUGUGCAAGAGGGUUAUGACCUGCACAGAGAGGAGCAGCUCAGUUGCAUGGAGUUCUGCUAUGGCUUAUGUGAUGGGCUGGUCAGGAGCUCAUGGGCCAUGAUCUGAGGGAAGGCCAACACAGGUAACAUGGUAGGCAUCUGCUACAGAUUGCCUGGUCAAAAAGACAAAAUAGAUGAAGCCUUCUCUAGACAAGUGGUAGAAGUGUCACUAUGUCAAAUCCUGGCUUUUAUAGGAUAUACUGACCCACCUGACAUCUGCUGGGUAGGAAACACAGUAGGACGCAAGCAAUCCAUAUUUCUGAAGUGGAUCAGGGACAAUUUCUUGACACAGGUGCUGGACAGGGUGAGUAGGGAGAUGUUCUAAUUAAUUUGCUACUCACUAGCAUGGAAGAAGUGUUUGGGGUUGUGAUGGUUAAUGGCAGCCUCGGAGACACCAAGAGAUGGUAGAAUUCAAGAUGAUGAGAAAACAGAGAAAGCCGAAUAGCAGAACGACAACUCAGGGUUCAGGAGAGAAGACUUUGGCUUGAACUAGCAAGGAGCUUCCCUUUGGCUGUUGCUAUGUAGAGCAAAAGGACACAUAGGGUUACAUGAUCUUCAAGGAUCAUCUCCUCAAAGACCAAGAAUGAUCUGUACUGUAUGCAGGAGGCUAAGCAGACAGUAUAUGAGGCCAGCUUGGGUACCCAGAGAACUGCUGACUGAACUCAAACAUAACACCAAAACAAGCGGGGACAGGCAAUCAAGGAGCAAUGUAGCACUACACAGGUGUGCAGGGAUGGGAUUAAGAAAACCAAAGCUUGACUUGAGAUGACAUUGGUGAUGAUGUGAAGAGCGACAGGAAGGGCUUCUACAUUAGUAGUGAAAGGAAAACCAAGACAGUGCGGGUCUACUGCUGAACAGGGAAGUGAUCUAAUGAUGAAUGACACAUAGAAGUCUGAGGUUCUCAGCAUUUUCAUUGAUAGUCUUUACUAGCAAAGUCUGCUACUAUGUCUAAUUGCAUGUCUAAUGGGAGAGUAGAAGAAAGAGUCAUAACCCACAGUUGGAAACUGUGAUGCUGGGGUCACAUAAGUGAAUUGGACAUACACAAAUCCAUAGCACCAGAUGGGACGCAGGCCAGCCAGCAUACAGAAGAAAAUUCUUCAUAGUGAGGGUUGUCAGGUGCUAAAGCAAGAAGUCCAGAAAGUGUGUGCAAUUUCUCUUCUUGGAUGUGCUCAAACCCCAGUUAGAUGAGGCCUUGAGAGUCUUCCUGUUCUGUUAAGCAGACAAUUCCAUGAGUCCUGCAGAAGUCCUUUCCAACAUAAUUUUUUCUAUGAUCCUUAGUAAGCAUCUGAAUAUAAAUGAAAAAUCCCCAGGAAAUGGGCCUUGAAUUGCACAACAUUGAAUGUAGCAUGGCCUAAAUGCCACACAUCCCCCAAAUGGGCCAUGAGACAUGGGCGUCUAAAGGAGGGGGUAAGUAGAGGUACAGGGACUGCAGCUGCCAGGAAGGUCUCUAACCUCUGCCCAUGAGGGUUAGCAGGGUUUAAACGGUGCUCUCUGCUGCUCCACUCUAGCCUGUCACCUUUUAGAUGUGCUGUAGGUACUCCAGGCCUUCCUGUCUUGAACCUCCCAAUACUGAAGGUGUUGGAGUCACGCCAUCCAAAGACUUCACUAAUCCCUUAAAGAUCUUUCUCCAGGAGUCCUGGGGAGGCUGAGACCUCUCUGAGACUGUGUUAACACAAAUGUGAGCAGCGGUGGCAGCUGAUAGUGGAUAUGUUCUUGUUUUACCAAGCUGGCAAGACAUCACAAUAGCAGUAGAGUGCAGUGAAGGUCUCGCCAGGGGUUAGUCACCAGCAGGCAAGCUCUCAGAUCCCUGGGCACAUAUUCAGGUUGCUAGGGUGGGCUGGCACUUAUGCUACUGUAUCUCGACAGAUCUCAGCACCUAUCCUAGGAACUUGCACAUCCAGUGCACAGUGCAAACAUACCCCAAGAAGACCUUUGUUUUCCUGUAAUGCUUUUACUUGUCCCUAAAUGGCUGCUACUUCAGAUGUUGCACAGCUGCUGGUCCAGCAGGUUCACACCCACAGAAGGGCUACCAGAAGCUCUUCAGGUUUAAUUUAAGUUUAAUCAGUGUUUUGGACAUGUUAACAUUCAUUAUUUCAACACUAUUUCAGAAGGGCUUCCUUGGAGGCUACUUAAUCCUCUGGAGACUUCUGGUUGGAAGCAUAAGCAGAUUUUCCACACCCGUGGCACCAGAAUGUAUCUCUACAAGCAAGACACUCUGUUCCCUGCUGACUGACUCGAUGGAGCCAUGAAUGUCCUGGAGCAAAACUCAGAGAGUUUCUAAAGCCUCUGUGUGGAUGAUGAAAUCUUGGGGAGUAAAACCCUAAAAGAACUGAGCUUAACUUUGCAGUAAGGACAUAACUUCAAAUAGGACAAAUCUGCAUGUGCCUAUUCACAAUUAAGUAGACGUUUUUUGUCAUCUCUUUGAGCAGUCCUUCAUUUUGAUGUUGAGUUUGAACUAUUGGCGGAUGAAAGUCCAAAUGUCAGUCCCACGCAUAAUCUUUCAGAUGAAGUUGUGUGACUAUGGACAUGUGAGAAAGGUUGCUGAGAGCAUAUCUGCAUUAAAAUAAUAGGUUUCUGUGCAAUUCUAACUGUUCAUUUCCAAAAGGUCUUGAUUGCUUUAUUACUGCCUACUUGGCAUGAGUAAAACUAUUUUAUUUUAGUUUUAGACCUCUCCACAGUCAAAACCACCCAACUGUUGUGACUAGAAUAUCACUCAAGAGAGGAUGUUCUCUUCAAAGAAGUUAAAACUGAUGUACAACACUGAGGAGAAGAUUGGUUGCAAGGUGGGGAAGUCAGGUAAAAAUCCAGGAAUCUAGCUUUAAUAUCAAGAGUCAUUUACUGCUUAAAUGGGCUUACAUGGAAUACCAUAAGCAUUACGGGAUAAGAGUUGUCUGUAGAUUAUUUAUUUUUAUUUUUAGCAAAGAUCACUGAAACAUUCCUUUCUAAAUAAACAUUGCUGUACUCAGGAGAGUAAAAGAGUUAUCGUGUGAGAAUAGCCAAAUUGGCUCUAAGUUUUGGAUUUCUUCAUAGUGUUCUAAUUCAAACCAGAAUAAGCAAAGGAAAAAAAGGAAGCAGUGGAAUAGUGACUUUGUAGCAUAAAAGAACAGAAUUCAAUUGUUAAGAGGACAUCUACAAACAUCACUAUUAAAACAUUGUUUUACCUUUCCAAUGAAGAAACUUGUCUGUAUAUUGUAUUUUGACAGAAUAUUUUUCUGUUGUUUCACAUUCUCGUCUGAAGUAUCCAAGCCAAACUGAUCCCUGAUGAAUUAAUAUCGAUGGUGUCACACACCAGAAGUGUGGUUCUUUCAGUGUCAUUACUCUAGGAUCAAAGUAAUAUUUAAUUGGUCUGGUUUGCAGAACUGCCCCCUGCCUCUCACUCAAGCCAUUCACUGCAAUUCAUAGGCGUUUUGGACCUGUCACAUCCUUCUCUUUCCUCACUUUCCCAAGCACCACAGACUUUCUCACCCAAAUUGGUGAGAUACGUUCAGACAAAAUAUGCCGCUUGGCUUAGCCCAGAUCUUUCAGCUGUGCUUCUGCUUCACAAUGAAAUCACCCAUUUGUAUGUUUUAGUUCAUUUGCACCAUCUAUAAAUCCUCUCUUGGGGUACAGAGCACAGCACAUGGCCUGGCUGAAACUUCCAAAAGGGGACCUGUGAGCUGCUAAAGAAACCCUGUGGUUGUAAGGGAGAGCUGGAGAGAGAGAGGAGUCCAUAGGAGGGCUCAUGUUUUGCCAGGGAUCUUCAUAGCUCUGAGAGGGUCGGCAGACUUUGGAGACCAAGGACUGUUAACGCAACAGUGCACUUAGAAAUAGGUCCGUGCUCCCUCACUGUCUUGGAGAGACAGAGGGGAAAACUCAUGUUUUUGCAGUCACAUAAUACAUGCUUUUUGUCUUCCAGGGGAAGACAAAGACCCUGUACAGCAAGUACAUGCCAGCCAGCAGAAGGCACUUUCAAGGCACAGCAUGACAUUAUUUAGGUCUCACAAAAUGUAGUACCUUUGCCAUCUGUCCUUGAGUGUCUUUUACUAGCACUGUGUUUAUUUAUACUCAAACAACUAAAGCACCCUCUGUAACAACAUCAAUAAUUCUCAAUGCAGUGGCAUUUGUAGCGGUGAGAAAGACGCAGGAGCUGGCCCCCAACAGUAGCAGACUGUCCAGAGAGCUUGAUGAUCCUUGGCUUGCUCUCACUAGGAAAAGGAAUGGAAAGAGGGAGAUGGAGCUCUGAAAUGCAAGCUGUAAAGGUAUCUCCAAAGAGGCUUAGUGUUUUUGCCAGGACAAUGAAAAAUGUUUUACAAGAAAUCCAAUAGGUUUAUAGGAAACUUGAAGAUUAUGAAUGUCAAGAGCUUCUCAUCCUUACAAGGCAAAGCUGUUAGUACUGUGCUUCUCCUAGCUGCUUCCUGAGGUAUCCCAUGCUUACCAAAUUCCUCAGCUCCCU
Molecule: RNA transcript, 7128 nt
Organism: Cuculus canorus (common cuckoo)
Lineage: Eukaryota; Metazoa; Chordata; Aves; Cuculiformes; Cuculidae
Exons: 4
Source: RefSeq, a predicted model, not a curated record